GGGAAGUUCAAGCGAGUCAUAUCAGGAAGCUCACAAAGAGCCAAUUAACAGGAAGUUCACAAAGAGCCAUAUUACAGGGAAGCUUAUAAGAGCUAAGGUGUGUUCACAACACAUGUAGGGUAAAAACCUAUCCGGACACUCCGAAGAGCUAUAACGAGAAGCUCGCAAGAACCAUCAUACGGGAAGCUCAGGAGAGAUAAUAACGGGAC
RNAcentral lists this long non-coding RNA (209 nucleotides) under Gossypium barbadense (sea-island cotton). Its description in RNAcentral is "long non-coding RNA (GBAR_LNC002051)". The record is from RNAcentral. Lineage: Eukaryota; Viridiplantae; Streptophyta; Magnoliopsida; Malvales; Malvaceae.